CCUACGGGCGGCAGCAGUGGGGAAUAUUGGACAAUGGGGGGAACCCUGAUCCAGCCAUGCCGCGUGUGUGAAGAAGGCCCUCGGGUUGUAAAGCACUUUCAGUGAGGAAGAACGCCUGGUGGUUAAUACCCAUCAGGAAAGACAUCACUCACAGAAGAAGCACCGGCUAACUCCGUGCCAGCAGCCGCGGUAAUACGGAGGGUGCGAGCGUUAAUCGGAAUUACUGGGCGUAAAGCGCGCGUAGGUGGCUUGAUAAGCCGGUUGUGAAAGCCCCGGGCUCAACCUGGGAACGGCAUCCGGAACUGUCAAGCUAGAGGGCAGGAGAGGAAGGUAGAAUUCCCGGUGUAGCGGUGAAAUGCGUAGAGAUCGGGAGGAAUACCAGUGGCGAAGGCGGCCUUCUGGACUGACACUGACACUGAGGUGCGAAAGCGUGGGUAGCAAACAGGAUUAGAUACCCCGGUAGUC
This 465-nucleotide ribosomal RNA is filed under the name Vreelandella stevensii. RNAcentral's name for it is "partial 16S ribosomal RNA". It matches the Rfam family "Bacterial small subunit ribosomal RNA", at positions 338 to 795 of the family's 1533-position model. The record is from RNAcentral. Lineage: Bacteria; Pseudomonadati; Pseudomonadota; Gammaproteobacteria; Oceanospirillales; Halomonadaceae.